UACGUUGGGGGCUAGCGUUGUCCGGAAUCAUUGGGCGUAAAGAGCGUGUAGGCGGCCCGGUAAGUCCGCUGUGAAAGUCGGGGGCUCAACCCUCGAAUGCCGGUGGAUACUGUCGGGCUAGAGUGCGGAAGAGGCGAGUGGAAUUCCUGGUGUAGCGGUGAAAUGCGCAGAUAUCAGGAGGAACACCGAUUGCGAAGGCAGCACUCUGGGACGUGACUGACGCUGAGACGCGAAAGCGUGGGGAGCAAACAGG
RNAcentral lists this ribosomal RNA (253 nucleotides) under uncultured bacterium. RNAcentral's name for it is "partial 16S ribosomal RNA". It matches the Rfam family "Bacterial small subunit ribosomal RNA", at positions 524 to 776 of the family's 1533-position model. The record is from RNAcentral.